AGCUACACCCUUUGCUCUUUUUCUCUUUCUACGUUUGUUCGAGUACAUUAAUAUCUACCUUCCAAUUGAAUUCUUUUCAACAACGCAAACACUUUACGUGAUAAGCAUUCUCUUGAUAGGGAUGCCCGACAUCCCUCUCAAUCGGAAUGUUUUAGACCUUCGAUCAUGCAGAAUGGUAACCGUCCAUUUUCUAACCAAAAGAGCCACAUUUCAAAGGGUUAAUGCAAAUUGAGGGCUUUUAUUUGUUUUCCAUCAAGCGUAAAAGGGAACACAAAUCAUAUGAACGGUUUGGAUUAUUGGAAGACUACCUAUAUUCAGACAUACUCUGCGAUCGGAUGCAUUCGAGCCAAUUUCUUCACCCUUUCUCUCUCGGGCCUCCUCUCCUGCGUGCGUUGCACGUGCAAUAUCUCUGCGUAUCCUUACAACCCUAAACCCCCUCAAGCAUCCCCAACAGCCCUUUCAAAAAGCCGUUGCAACUCUCUCUCUCUCUCUCUCUCUCUCUCUCUCCUUUUUGAGUAUGGAAAUGCUGGUGAAGAAAUACCAGCAAAAGUACAGAAGAGUUAGAGAAGAAAUGUGUCGAUGGGACGAACUUCAAUCUCGAUUCCUCUCCCAAUUCAGAAACGCUUCUUCCAUCAUCCAAAGAUUGCCGGUGCUUGACGACUCAAGAAGUUAUGGGGAACUAACAUGUGUCCAUGGCAUGAGAGAGGUUCUGUUGGGGAAACAGAUGGAGACCCUGGAAAUCAUUUUUCGUUCCAUUAGAGAGACUUUGAAAGAGUUUCAUGGCAUUGUCAUAUCCCUUGAGAAGACUGUGCGAGAUGGCAAGCAACUAUUGAAAGGGGGAUCCAUGCGGCCAACUAUGCAUCAGAUGCAAUUGCGAGUGGGGAUACGGCCAAGUCUUGCUGAUUGCGUGGAUGGGCUUAGAUCUCUUUAUGACAUGCACCUUGCAGAGUACACGCUAAAGUCAUCGACAAUUUCAGCUCUGAGUCCUCAGACACUGCAUUCCAGGAUUCAGAAAUUUUGAUAAGAUGGUGUUGGCUGAGGUAGAGGAUUGGGAGAGGAAGUCAUGAUGGUGGCUGAGGUUGUGGUCGCGGUCUUGGCCAUGAUCAUUUUAUGGAUCGUCUAUGCUCUAAUUAUGGUCGAUAUGAACACACUAUUGAUUAUUCUUGGGUACUUCAUAGUAGACUUCAAGGCCAAGUUGCUAAUUCUACAGCUAUAGAUGUGGUGGCGAUCUGAGUGCUCUCCAUCAACUCCUGGCAGAUCAACCUAACAUCCCCAAAGAGGAAGUUUAUUUUCAACAUUAUAUUUCCUGAAGAAAUUUGCUGACUUCCACCAUUUCGGAUCAAAGCAUGCAUUUAGGGUCAUGGCCGAAAGCUUGGAAGUAUUUUAAUAGACGAUACCCUUCUAUGGAUUCAACCUUCAGCUAGUACGGCCCGCCAUCUUUUUAAGGUGUCGAUGCCCUGUAAAAUGUUAGUCUUCUUGGGCCCUAGGUCUCCCAACUAAUAUUCUGCGACUGUAGUAAAUGUGUGUGGAUGGACUCAUAACUGAAAUUUCCCAGUAGUUCAAGAAAUCACCAAUUCCAUGGAAAUCAAUGAAAAUGGAGAAGGUUUUCCAUUGAUGUGACAGUUUGAGUUGUUUGAAUAGCAAAGGAAAGGGAAGAUUCCACAUUUCAAUCAUUGCACUUUCCAUAUUUUGGAUUUUCUGGAACAAGAAAUUAAAUGAUCAGUCUUACAAAGAUGAGAUUUCCACUUACUAUCGAAAAAAGAUCCUUGAAAAUGGAAUCUAUGUUUCAUUAGUGGUCAUGGAAAUAAUCAUUACCUUUUGUUUUCUUCUCCCUUGGAAUACAUAUAUCCAAACAUGACUUAAAGUACAAUGUUUCAGUUUACAAUAUGAACGAAAUUGAUACACUAUGAUGAAUUUUUUGAAAAAUGAUACUUGUCUAUGCUUAGUGCAUGACAUUGGACAUGACAUAAUCCUAGUACAAGGUGCUCAUAGUAUACUUUUGGAUAUUUCAGCCAAAUGCUAUUGUGUGA
Magnolia sinica is the source of this 2030-nucleotide RNA transcript. RefSeq lists it as uncharacterized. The transcript has 7 exons. The record is from RefSeq and is a predicted model, not a curated record. Lineage: Eukaryota; Viridiplantae; Streptophyta; Magnoliopsida; Magnoliales; Magnoliaceae.